This 369-nucleotide unclassified non-coding RNA is filed under the name plant metagenome. Its description in RNAcentral is "partial contains small subunit ribosomal RNA and internal transcribed spacer 1". The stretch from base 1 to 46 matches the Rfam family "Eukaryotic small subunit ribosomal RNA", at positions 1786 to 1831 of the family's 1831-position model. The record is from RNAcentral.
AAGUCGUAACAAGGUAACCGUAGGUGAACCUGCGGUUGGAUCAUUAACGAAGUUCGGCGUUGUGACUAUUGCGCGAGUUACCAUUCAGUUGCCACUCGUGCAUUGCCGUAUCCAGGUGGAACUCCUUGGCGGUGGACCAGCGCACGAAGGGUAGUCAAUUACGUUGGCACUCCUUCCAGCCACCUUGAAAAAGGCUGGCACCCGAAUCAACAUCUUGUGAACUGAACUGUCCCUGGCGGGGGGGUAGCAAUCAAAACCUGCUACCUGUCAGCAAAUGCGUGAGCAUUUGCCGUGGACAUCCCGUCAACAGGUCUUACACCUUUGCUUUAUUUUGAUGUCUGACAUAACAUGUAUUAAUAUACAAAACAA